CUGUGAUGCCCUUAGAUGUUCUGGGCCGCACGCGCGCUACACUGACGAUGUCAGAGAGCGUCUCCUUCACCGAGAGGUGUGGGUAAUCUUUUAAACAUCGUCGUGCUGGGGAUAGAUCAUUGCAAUUUUUGAUCUUAAACGAGGAAUUCCUAGUAAGCGCGAGUCAUCAGCUCGCGCUGAUUACGUCCCUGCCCUCUGUACACACCGCCCGUCGCUACUACCGAUUGAAUG
Molecule: ribosomal RNA, 231 nt
Filed under: uncultured Symbiodinium
Lineage: Eukaryota; Dinophyceae; Suessiales; Symbiodiniaceae
Description: partial Eukaryotic small subunit ribosomal RNA
Rfam family: Eukaryotic small subunit ribosomal RNA
Source: RNAcentral